Molecule: ribosomal RNA, 410 nt
Filed under: Enterococcus faecalis
Lineage: Bacteria; Bacillati; Bacillota; Bacilli; Lactobacillales; Enterococcaceae
Description: bacterial SSU rRNA
Rfam family: Bacterial small subunit ribosomal RNA
Source: RNAcentral
UUGAUGGAGGGUUUGAUCCUGGCUCAGGACGAACGCUGGCGGCGUGCUUAACACAUGCAAGUCGAACGGUAAGGCUCCAGCUUGCUGGGGUACACGAGUGGCGAACGGGUGAGUAACACGUGGGUGACCUGCCCUGCACUUCGGGAUAAGCCUGGGAAACUGGGUCUAAUACCGGAUAGGACCGCACCGUGAGGGUGUGGUGGAAAGUUUUUUCGGUGUGGGAUGGGCCCGCGGCCUAUCAGCUUGUUGGUGGGGUAAUGGCCUACCAAGGCGGCGACGGGUAGCCGGCCUGAGAGGGUGGACGGCCACAUUGGGACUGAGACACGGCCCAGACUCCUACGGGAGGCAGCAGUGGGGAAUAUUGCACAAUGGGCGAAAGCCUGAUGCAGCGACGCCGCGUGGGGGAUGAC